UACGGAGGGGGCUAGCGUUAUUCGGAAUUACUGGGCGUAAAGCGCGCGUAGGCGGAUAAGCAAGUCAGGGGUGAAAUCCCGGGGCUCAACCUCGGAACUGCCUUUGAUACUCGUUGUCUGGAGGACGUGAGAGGCGAGUGGAAUUCGGAGUGUAGAGGUGAAAUUCGUAGAUAUUCGGCGGAACACCCGUGGCGAAGGCGGCUCGCUGGUCCGUUUCUGACGCUGAGGCGCGAAAGCGUGGGGAGCAAACAGG
Molecule: ribosomal RNA, 253 nt
Filed under: uncultured bacterium
Lineage: Bacteria
Description: partial 16S ribosomal RNA
Rfam family: Bacterial small subunit ribosomal RNA
Source: RNAcentral